AUACGGAGGGUGCGAGCGUUAAUCGGAAUUACUGGGCGUAAAGGGCGCGUAGGUGGUUUGGUCAGUCGGAUGAGAAAGCCCCGGGCUCAACUUGGGAAUUGCAUUCGAUACUGCCUCACUAGAGUAUGGUAGAGGGAAGCGGAAUUCCCGGUGUAGCGGUGAAAUGCGUAGAUAUCGGAAGGAACACCAGUGGCGAAGGCGACUCUCUGGACCAAAACUGACGCUGAGGUGCGAAAGCGUGGGUAGCAAACAGGAUUAGAUACCCCAGUAGUCC
This 274-nucleotide ribosomal RNA is filed under the name uncultured bacterium. Its description in RNAcentral is "partial 16S ribosomal RNA". It matches the Rfam family "Bacterial small subunit ribosomal RNA", at positions 523 to 796 of the family's 1533-position model. The record is from RNAcentral.